AGAGUUUGAUCCUGGCUCAGGAUGAACGCUAGCGACAGGCUUAACACAUGCAAGUCGAGGGGCAGCAGGGGAGUAGCAAUACUCCCGCUGGCGACCGGCGCACGGGUGAGUAACACGUAUGCAACCUGCCCUUGUCAGGGGGAUAAGCGGAAGAAAUUCCGUCUAAUACCGCAUAAUGCUGCGGGGAGACAUCUCCCUGCAGCCAAAGAUUUAUCGGACAAGGAUGGGCAUGCGGCGCAUUAGCUUGUUGGCGGGGUAACGGCCCACCAAGGCGACGAUGCGUAGGGGUUCUGAGAGGAAGGCCCCCCACACUGGUACUGAGACACGGACCAGACUCCUACGGGAGGCAGCAGUGAGGAAUAUUGGUCAAUGGCCGGGAGGCUGAACCAGCCAAGUCGCGUGAGGGAAGACGGUCCUAUGGAUUGUAAACCUCUUUUGUCAGGGAGCAAAAACUGCCACGUGUGGCAGGAUGAGAGUACCUGAAGAAAAAGCAUCGGCUAACUCCGUGCCAGCAGCCGCGGUAAUACGGAGGAUGCGAGCGUUAUCCGGAUUUAUUGGGUUUAAAGGGUGCGUAGGCGGACAGUUAAGUCAGCGGUAAAAUUGAGAGGCUCAACCUCUUCCCGCCGUUGAAACUGAUUGUCUUGAGUGGGCGAGAAGUAUGCGGAAUGCGUGGUGUAGCGGUGAAAUGCAUAGAUAUCACGCAGAACUCCGAUUGCGAAGGCAGCAUACCGGCGCCCAACUGACGCUGAAGCACGAAAGCGUGGGUAUCGAACAGGAUUAGAUACCCUGGUAGUCCACGCAGUAAACGAUGAAUACUAAUUGUUCGGGUCAAAUGAGAUCUGAGUGAUACAGCGAAAGCGUUAAGUAUUCCACCUGGGGAGUACGCCGGCAACGGUGAAACUCAAAGGAAUUGACGGGGGCCCGCACAAGCGGAGGAACAUGUGGUUUAAUUCGAUGAUACGCGAGGAACCUUACCCGGGCUCAAACGACACAGGAAUGAUCUGAGAAAUCAGGCAGUCCUCCGGGACCUGUGUCGAGGUGCUGCAUGGUUGUCGUCAGCUCGUGCCGUGAGGUGUCGGCUUAAGUGCCAUAACGAGCGCAACCCCCAUCGACAGUUGCCAGCAGGUCAAGCUGGGCACUCUGUCGAGACUGCCGGCGCAAGCUGUGAGGAAGGCGGGGAUGACGUCAAAUCAGCACGGCCCUUACGUCCGGGGCGACACACGUGUUACAAUGGCAGGUACAGCGGGAAGCCACCUGGCGACAGGGAGCGGAACCCGAAAGCCUGUCUCAGUUCGGAUUGGAGUCUGCAACUCGACUCCAUGAAGCUGGAUUCGCUAGUAAUCGCGCAUCAGCCACGGCGCGGUGAAUACGUUCCCGGGCCUUGCACACACCGCCCGUCA
This 1400-nucleotide ribosomal RNA is filed under the name uncultured bacterium. Its description in RNAcentral is "16S ribosomal RNA". It matches the Rfam family "Bacterial small subunit ribosomal RNA". The record is from RNAcentral.